UAAAAGUGAAAGUGCCUUGCAGCUACCGAUCUAGCCCAGUUGCACUCCUAAAGAUUUGGAGUGGGUUUCCAGAAAAGGGGGGAAGUAAGAUGCCGGGACAAAAGUGGUUUCAGGAUCCUGAAGGAGACUUAGUCUGGGUCAAGAGGCACGAGCCUAAAACCCUGGAGCCACGCCGGAAAGGACCACACGCCGUGAUCCUGACUACACCCGCGGCCGUGAAGAUAGACGGUGUCCAAAUCUGGAUUCAUCACUCUCAGGUCAAGAAAAACUGCGUGAAGGCGGGAACACCCCAGACUGAUACGGAACCGGAUAACGAACACAAUGGAAGGUCUGAAGGCACCCAGAGGAUCCUUUAAAGCUAAGACUGAUGUGGGCGUAAUAAUAAUAAUUGUCUGGGUUUGUAUAAUGGUAAGCGUGGGGGACUGUACGGAAUUGCAUCCCCUAUCUUUGUGGCCAUACCAAUGGGAACUCAGGGACACUGUCACAGGGUAGGUGAUAGCAUCUAAUACCUCUUCCCUGUGCCUUGUUUUUUGUUUGAUUUAUGCGACUUGGUGGGGGACUCAUGGGGGACUUUAAUUACUAAUUAUAAACAGCCAAC
Molecule: long non-coding RNA, 598 nt
Organism: Lynx canadensis (Canada lynx)
Lineage: Eukaryota; Metazoa; Chordata; Mammalia; Carnivora; Felidae
Exons: 2
Source: RefSeq, a predicted model, not a curated record